AUUAUUUUCUCAUGAACAAUCGCGUGUUUGAACCCUAGUCAGAAUGUAUCCAGUGGGUCAUGGACAACCCCUUGUUCCCGGUCCAGGGCCCGUUGGUCCUCCGGUUCAACAACCAUCAGUUGGUCCAGGAACUAUUGGGGUUCCUCUACCCCUUGGCCCAAGCACUGGCCCACCCUUAGGUCAGACCCUGGUUCCUAACCCCCUGACAACCCUGGGAGGGGGAUUGCCCCCUAUAGGGACAAUAUUAUCACCUCAGACGACCCUGACCAGCUCGACCGGUGUCCUUUCACCGGUGGAUUCUGGUAGUCCGACCCAAUCAAUGGAUCAACCUCACUUCACAUGUCCUCGGCGGCCAAACCUCGGCCGGGAGGGAAGAUCCAUCCAACUUAGAGCAAAUCACUUUCAGAUAUCGAUGCCACGAGGAUAUAUACAUCAUUAUAAUAUAAACAUUCAACCCGACAAAUGUCCAAGGAAAGUUAACAGAGAUAUUAUUGAAACCAUGGUACAAAAAUACAGCAAAGUGUUUGGAAACAUGAAACCAGUAUUUGACGGACGAAAUAAUAUGUACACAAGAGACGCCUUGGUGGCCAUCGGCAACGAACAGAUCGAAUUUGAGGUAACACUGCCGGGUGAGGGCAAGGAUCGGGUGUUUAGGGUCGCGAUGAAGUGGACUGCACAGGUGGAUUUAUACUCACUUGAGGAGGCUUUGGAAGGACGAAGGAGAGAUAUACCAUACGAUGCCAUUCAAGCCUUAGACGUUGUUAUGCGUCAUCUGCCUUCUAUGAGAUAUACGCCGGUUGGCCGCUCAUUUUUCUCUGCCCCAGAUGGAUAUUAUCAUCCCCUGGGCGGCGGACGAGAGGUUUGGUUUGGAUUCCAUCAGUCUGUCCGCCCGUCACAGUGGAAGAUGAUGCUCAAUAUUGAUGUGUCCGCCACCGCCUUCUACAAGUCCCAGCCCGUGAUUGAGUUUAUGUGCGAGGUGCUGGAUAUCAGGGAUGUGAACGAGCAGCGUAAACCCUUGACCGACUCUCAGAGGGUCAAAUUCACCAAGGAAAUCAAGGGACUUAAGAUUGAGAUUACUCACUGUGGCGCAAUGCGGCGGAAAUAUCGAGUUUGUAACGUGACCAGACGUCCAGCUCAAAUGCAAAGUUUCCCGCUUCAACUUGAAAACGGGCAAACUGUUGAGUGUACAGUGGCUAAAUACUUCUUAGAUAAAUACAAGAUGAAACUGAGAUAUCCUCAUCUCCCCUGUCUCCAGGUAGGCCAGGAGCACAAGCAUACCUACCUACCCCUGGAGGUGUGUAUUAUAGUACAGGGACAGCGCUGUAUCAAGAAAUUAACAGAUAUGCAAACCUCGACGAUGAUCAAAGCGACGGCCAGGUCUGCCCCGGACAGGGAGAGAGAGAUCAACAACUUGGUGAGGAAAGCUGACUUCAACAACGACCCAUAUGUCAAGGAGUUCGGGUUGAACAUAUCACACAACCUGAUGGAGGUGAGAGGACGUGUCCUCAAUCCUCCGAAACUCCAGUAUGGAGGCAGAACACGACAACAGGCGCUUCCCGCCUCUGGAGUUUGGGACAUGAGAGGGAAACAGUUCUUUGCCGGAGUAGAAAUCAGAGAAUGGGCAAUUGCAUGCUUCGCACCCUCAAGAACAGUGAAAGAAGAUGCUUUGCGUAAUUUCACCCAGCAGCUGCAGAAGAUUAGUAAUGACGCAGGAAUGCCGAUAAUCGGUCAACCAUGCUUUUGUAAAUACGCAAACGGACCUGAUCAGGUUGAACCAAUGUUCCGGUACUUGAAAACACAGUUCCCAAGACUCCAGCUGGUCGUUGUGGUACUCCCGGGCAAGACACCGGUCUACGCUGAGGUCAAGCGAGUUGGAGACACCGUGCUCGGUGUGGCCACGCAGUGCGUGCAGGCUAAGAAUGUCAACAAAACAUCUCCACAGACCUUAUCAAAUCUUUGUCUAAAGAUUAAUGUGAAACUAGGAGGAGUCAAUUCAAUUCUUCUGCCGUCAAUCCGACCAAAGGUGUUCAAUGAGCCAGUGAUCUUCCUUGGAGCUGAUGUAACCCAUCCACCUGCAGGGGAUAACAAGAAACCCAGUAUAGCUGCUGUAGUUGGAAGCCAGGACGCUCAUCCUUCAAGAUACGCGGCAACAGUGCGCGUUCAGCAGCACCGUCAGGAGAUAAUCCACGAACUGUGCGCUAUGGUGAAGGAACAUCUAACCAUGUUCUACAAAUCUACCGGGGGAUACAAACCACAUAGGAUAAUUAUGUACAGGGACGGAGUAAGUGAAGGACAGUUUAUGCAUGUUCUCCAGCACGAGCUCACAGCUAUCAGAGAAGCAUGUAUAAAGUUGGAGCCUGAUUAUAAACCUGGAAUCACAUUUAUCGUGGUUCAGAAGAGACAUCAUACAAGACUAUUCUGCUCAGAUAAGAAGGAACAAAGCGGUAAGAGUGGAAAUAUACCUGCUGGAACUACAGUUGAUAUUGGUAUCACGCAUCCUACGGAAUUCGAUUUCUAUCUCUGCUCACAUCAAGGUAUCCAGGGAACCUCCCGACCUAGCCACUACCACGUCCUCUGGGAUGAUAAUAGGUUCGAGGCUGAUGAACUCCAGCAGCUCACAUACCAACUCUGCCACACAUACGUGAGGUGCACGCGAUCCGUCUCCAUCCCUGCUCCAGCGUACUACGCACAUCUGGUUGCAUUCAGAGCCAGAUAUCAUCUGGUUGAGAAGGAACAUGAUAGUGGUGAAGGAAGCCACCUAUCUGGAGGCUCGGAAGACCGUGCGCCAGCUGCCAUGGCGCGCGCCAUUACUGUGCAUGCGGAUACAAGGAAAGUUAUGUACUUUGCAUAAACGCACAUCAAUGCUCAUCGGCCCCACACAUUCACUAAUACUUAGAAGAUUAGAGUUGUAUAUUGCACAGUGUACCUGGAACUUCCCCUCCCCCUUCAGUGGCAACAAGGGGGUUCAGCCAGUAGAAGGCUUUCAUGUACAUUGUACACAGCGCCGUAUUGAUCACAAACGGUACAUAGAUUGUCCCUGAUAAAGGCAAGAGUCAACAGUUUAAAGAAGAAUUAAAAUCAAUAGUAAACCUGAUAUGUCUCCAUUCUCUUUAUCCUGCUCCAUUGUUAUUUCCCUCCGUUCUCCCUCAUAAUAAUGUAAUCACUGUGAAAGCAAACCAAUUUUUACACCAACACAUCUUCUCUACUAGUACCUAUGUAAUUCGCAUUCUCCUCGUACUGUACUGUACAAUUGUACACUACACUGUACACGGUACUUGCAUAGUUAUUUCACUGCUUUGCCAAAUCUGUUGUUAGUUGCCUAAUUGUUAUUAAUUGAUUGUUUGUGCUUAAUUAUGAUGUACAUAGGAUGCUGUACAAUGUAAGUGUACAACACAAAUGUUUCUUUUUAUACGCUGGAUUGCGUUUAAGCAUUAUAGUACAAAAUUUUUAUCUCAUCAUGUACCUUUUUUACAGCAUCAGUAGUGUACAACGUUAAGUGUACUGCAAUUAAUUUCUGUUCAUGAAAAUUUCUAAAGAUGUAAAUAUGUUCAAAUAUCAUUGACAUAGCUCUGUGUUAAAAAAUUUAUUAGUCCGCUAGAACUGUGAGCUGAUCUGUGAGCUAUGUAUACCUCGGUUGACCUUCAUGAAUGAUUGGUUGACACUAAGCGCGGAGAUCAAGCCUGCCCUAGGUAUACCCACGUGUCACGUGAUCACUCUGACCGCGCUUCAGGCGCGCUCUGUAUCUCCAGCCUGCCCGAGCACGUGCCAGGGGCGCUUCACGCCACGUUGAUCUCCGUUGCUUUGAAAGUAACCAGUGUAUUCACAAACCCGGAGUACAGAAAGAACUUGUAUCCGGAGAAAUUUAACCCAACCUUGAAUCCUCUUUUAAAUCUUUUACUCCUCUCACUUGUACACCAUGUACCUGUACACAAUUUACAUGUACAAGCUUUUCUCCCUAUUUUAUGUACACAUGGUUGUGUGUGUACUGCAUGAAUGUUUGUAUGUAAAACUGGAUCCGGUAAUAUCCUGCCUAGCAACAACGUGGAAUUAGUUUAUAAGGGUUAAUAUAUAUAUCAAUAUAUAUAUAUUAUAUUCGUUUCUAGUAUCAAUUAUAUUUGUCUUUUCUGUCACACAAGCAUUUUAUUCCAUUUUAUUUGUUACAGGGUUAACAUUAUUCAUGUCGAUAUAAAAGUCUUAUUACAAAUGCAACUAUUUGGUCCAGUAAAGCUGAUCUUCAAUAAUUCUAAAUAUAUUGAAAUAUCAUUUUUUGUAUUUUUUUUUUGGCAAUAUAUUUGUUUGUAAUA
RNAcentral lists this unclassified non-coding RNA (4304 nucleotides) under Eurytemora carolleeae. RNAcentral's name for it is "protein argonaute-2". The record is from RNAcentral. Lineage: Eukaryota; Metazoa; Arthropoda; Copepoda; Calanoida; Temoridae.